AUGUUUUCCCCUUCUUUGUCUUACAGGCACCUGCUUCCUCUGAGGCUAAGAAAAAGGCUGUUGCAAAGAGGGCACCCAAAACAAAGAAAGCCAAACCCGCUGAGAAUGGGAGCACCAAGGCUGAGGAGCCCAAGGCUGAAGCCACUGAAGCCAAAUGAAUAGUGGUUGAUGUGCUCACUCUGUGUACUUGGUGAUUGUACAGUUUUAAAUAAGUAUUUUUUACCAAGUUUUAUAUUACAAAUGUCAUUUAUAGUUUUGUUUUUGGCUUGCACUUGAUGUAACAAAAUUUUGUUUUCACAUUCAUAUCCAUUUUA
Molecule: long non-coding RNA, 314 nt
Filed under: Oreochromis niloticus (Nile tilapia)
Lineage: Eukaryota; Metazoa; Chordata; Actinopteri; Cichliformes; Cichlidae
Description: lncRNA (ENSONIG00000042103.1)
Source: RNAcentral